Molecule: ribosomal RNA, 506 nt
Filed under: Kingella kingae
Lineage: Bacteria; Pseudomonadati; Pseudomonadota; Betaproteobacteria; Neisseriales; Neisseriaceae
Description: bacterial SSU rRNA
Rfam family: Bacterial small subunit ribosomal RNA
Source: RNAcentral
UAGCUGGCGGCAUGCUUUACACAUGCAAGUCGGACGGCAGCACGAGUACUUGUACUUGGUGGCGAGUGGCGAACGGGUGAGUAAUAUAUUGGAACGUACCGAGUAAUGGGGGAUAACUAUCCGAAAGGAUAGCUAAUACCGCAUACGCUUUGAGAAGGAAAGCAGGGGAUCUUCGGACCUUGCGUUAUUCGAGCGGCCAAUAACUGAUUAGCUAGUUGGUGGGGUAAGGGCCCACCAAGGCGACGAUCAGUAGUGGGUCUGAGAGGAUGAUCCGCCACACUGGGACUGAGACACGGCCCAGACUCCUACGGGAGGCAGCAGUGGGGAAUUUUGGACAAUGGGCGAAAGCCUGAUCCAGCCAUGCCGCGUGUCUGAAGAAGGCCUUCGGGUUGUAAAGGACUUUUGUUAGGGAAGAAAAGGUUGAUGCUAAUAUCAUUAACUGAUGACGGUACCUAAAGAAUAAGCACCGGCUAACUACGUGCCAGCAGCCGCGGUAAUACGUAGGG